Molecule: transfer RNA, 77 nt
Filed under: Desulfuromonas soudanensis
Lineage: Bacteria; Pseudomonadati; Thermodesulfobacteriota; Desulfuromonadia; Desulfuromonadales; Desulfuromonadaceae
Also listed under: 3 other names
Description: tRNA-Met
Rfam family: tRNA
About the family: Transfer RNA (tRNA) molecules are approximately 80 nucleotides in length. Their secondary structure includes four short double-helical elements and three loops (D, anti-codon, and T loops).
Source: RNAcentral
GGCGGUGUAGCUCAGCUGGUUAGAGCAUGCGGCUCAUAUCCGCAGUGUCCGGAGUUCGAAUCUCUGCACCGCCACCA